GUCCUGUGGCAGCUGCGACAAAUUCCUUGCCAUACUUGGCUGCAAACAGCAUCUGAACUUGCAGCAAUUAGGGCAGAUCAACACAUCUCGGAGCAGCAAAGCAAAUGCCAGAUAUAGCUUCCUUCAGGAAGGCGGACAACUAUGCGCUCGCAGAACAAUUCGAUGAUCUCCUGUGCCGCCAUCAUGUUCGCUUCCCGAAAAAUAUGCUCCACCUACAAGGUAAUACCAAUUUUUUUUUUUUGAGAAACAAGUAUUAGUCCAAAUUUGAACCUCACACCUUACUUCCGAAAUCGCAUGAAGUAAUUCAUUCA
This is a long non-coding RNA of Ananas comosus (pineapple), 311 nucleotides long. RefSeq lists it as uncharacterized. The record is from RefSeq and is a predicted model, not a curated record. NCBI's taxonomy places the organism in Eukaryota, Viridiplantae, Streptophyta, Magnoliopsida, Poales, Bromeliaceae. The transcript has 2 exons.